UAAGCACUAGUGACCAUAAAAAUAUUUGGCUCUACUAUGUUUGCAUACAAACAAUUUAUUUGGCAUGCUCGCCUGCAAUGCAUUUCUUAUCAUCUAGCGUAUACAAAUGCUCUGUACUCAUGUAAAAAGUGGUGGUCGCAAUUAAACAUGGAAUUUAGUUAGCAUAUAUUUUGGUGUGACAUAACUAAGCUUGACAUGGUCAUCCUAUCUAUCUAUAUCUCUUAUAAAGCAAAAUCCCACUAUGGAUUCAUUUAAGUUGUCUAUCUCCACAUGCAGCCUGUCCACAUCAUCUAUUUAUAGCCGCUUGAUUCUGAUCAUCCUAUUGAUUCCCGAUCGUCCGAUCACAUGCCUACUCAAAGUGUAUGUGUCAAUUUCUGCCACCACAACCUGAUGACUGAUCUGCUUCCAACACGCUAUGCAGAAUUGUUUUGCUUAUGCGUCAGUCUACCUCCCUCAAUGUCAGUUGAUGCUACUAAAUGGUAACCGAGUGCAUGGUUGAUCUUCUCUCAGCUGGCAAUCAAUUUAUCAUACUAGCAUCACCGCAUGAUAACAUGGAGUUUUACUGGUGACGUUGUGCCUCCCACGUCCCUUCACUUCCCAUCCCAUGAACCUUAAUAUUUGAGGCUUUUUACGGUAGGGAUUAACAAAUACCAACUGUUCCAACUAACAAAUUGGAUGGUUCAGAUUUAUCAAUACUUGUUGAUUGGAGUAGUAGUAUAUUUUCAGCGAAGGGCAAACUGGGUACAUGCAAAAAUAGAAAAGGGAAGAUCUUGCAUGUAUGGCAGACUAGAUUGUUGAUAUUUCGGCAACGCAACCAUGUAAUACAAGAACAUAACUACUAUACUAAAGCGUAACAGGUUCGAUUUUUCUCCUAAAUUUGAGUUAUUUUUUGGAUUAAUGUGAUGCUGACACGUCUCUGUUUGAUAGUUUGAUUACCACUGGGUUUUUUAUGUGUACAGUUUCGGUGCCCUCUAAGAAUUUUUUUCGUUUAGCCGUCUCUCUUCUCUUCUUCUUUAAUGCUGCAUCGUGUGACUUUAGCAUUUUAUGGUGGGCCAGCUGAUCUCCUCAAUUCUUGCGUGAUGGCCUUGGUCUUGAGGCGCCGCUUUGACCUGCUGCUUUGUCUCUCCUUUAUUUUAUUUCUCUAGAAGACUCCCGUCGAGUGAGUGCCACGUCCUCCGUCAUCUUCAUUGUCUCGCCAUGCUCUACCUCUGCCAUAUUCCCCUGCUCUGGAUUCUUCCCCUACAUGAGUUCUUCCGUGGCCGGGUACUCCAUCGCCUGGUCAGCGGACUUGCUUUUAGGUUUUCCGACGCCGUGGUCAUCGCCGAGGCCGCUCCGUCCGUCCGUGAUUCAGCAGACCAGUUCGGUUGGCGCUCUAGCCUCUCCCUCUUCCGCUCCAUCAGGUGGGCACAAGGUGCUGCUCUAGAUCUCCUCCCGAUGGGCCGUGGCAUGGAUUGGGUCCUCUGACGUCCCAGCCGUGCUGAUUCGUCCGCCGUCUUAUCUCGAGAGGGGCUUGGGGUGGAGGCGACGCCGUGGCAUGGAGGCGGGGCGGCGAGCAGGGAGAGGCAAGGAUGGUGAUGCUCUCGCCCACCACGGUCCGACGGCCACCGGUGGUUACGCCCGUCGGGCGUCCAUACGUCGGCUCCAUGGCUACUUCUGUCAGCCGGCGUGCGUCGGGGUUUGCUAGCAGUUUCGGGCGGUACCAGCAGCGGCGGGGUUCGGGUGAGCACCACAGAAGGACGGGAGAGCUCCUUCCCCUGCUAGAACGUUGAGCAACUGCAUGUCCUGGUGAGGAUGAAGACUAGCUGGAGGACUUGGUUUUGGUCUAAGAGGUAGAGCAUGAAGGCCACUGCGCAGAAGUUGCGCAACCAAAGUAAGGUGGUUUACCAAAUAAUUGACCUUGCUGAUGAUUAUUUUCUUGAAAGGUGAGCUAUGAUUGAAUCACAUGGUGCUCUAUCAGAUUAGAAGGUGUAAUUAGUUGUCUUUGUUUCCUUCAUGUUCAUUCAAUUGGUUUACUUACAAGCUACCAUUAUUUUUUCAUCGCAUUAUAAUAUAUAUUAUUAGCUAUUCUGACUUGUGAGUUCAUGUUUGUCGAAGGAAGUUGGAUGCAGUGGACUCUAACUUGGCUCAUGAGAAUCUUACUGAUAUGCAAAUAAACGAGUUAUUUUGAAUUGAGUGAUUGCACAAACUAUGUAGGAUGUUACAACCAGAAGUAAAUAAAUUAUUUUGAAAAACAUGUACUAUGUAUGAUCACAACUCGCCAUACAAUCAUUUCAUUGUAAAUUAUAAUGCAUGAUACAAAUGCUACAAAAUGACAUGUACAGUAUUUUUCAGCUGACACUAAAUGUUGCAGCCUACGUUGUCUCCAAACUUCCAUUUUAUCACUCUUACUACAUCGAUAUCUUUGAGUUAGCUUCUCCAAUUCAGUUGUUGUGGCUUUCUUUGUCAAUAAAAAUGCCUUAAUUCUGCGAUUAGAUGUUUUUGAUACAUAGGAUUGUGAAGUUUUUGUUGGACAUUAUCUUCUUGUGGUCCAUACUGGAAACGAUGAUGACCGUCUCUGGCUCUUCUGCUUAUUUUUUUUUUGAUAAUGAUCUGAUGUUACUUGAGUGCAGUGUCGCGGAUUUGGGCGAUCGGGAUUUUCUUUGUGAGGUGCUGCACUGCGUUGUGACCUGCGUUUUCUUUGGUCGGGGUUUGAUUUGGGUCAUCGUCUUGCCGGUUAAUUUUCCUCGAUCUUUUGCUUUUUUUGCUUCUUUGCUCGGAUUAUUUGAGUGUUGCUUUUUGAUUCUGUAAAAAGAUUUUCCCCUUGUGCACGUUGUUGGACUAGGCUGCUACUUUUAUGAGUGAUCCACAUUUUGCUGGCUAUCGUCGAGGUGUCUCUCCUUCUGCCUCAAGAUGGUCUAUUUGCCUUACUGAUUCUGAAUUCAGACAGUUAUUGUAGAAGAUACAUGUUUCAGACAUAAUGUCUAAGAUUGCAGAUUUGCUUCUCCCCUUGCUGUCAGUUCAUCUACCGCAGCAUCAAAUUCUGAUUCCAUGUGGACUUGUUUAAACAUGAAUAGCAAUGAUAGAUUUAAUUCGCUCCCGACGACGAUCAAGAACUCACCAUGCUGACAAGAUUGUUCUACCAUUGUCAUAUCUAAAGACAGGUACCUAGGCUUCACAUUAUUCUUCAAUAGAAUAGCUGGCAGCUUAUUCAAUCCUGCAUCAGCUUUCCUCCCAAGAUUCCUUACUUCUUCUUACUGUUGGCAAAUUAAUUUCCGAGGAAAACAGUGGCCUUCUUUUCCUUAUUAUGUGAGUCAUUGUUCAACGAUUUACUCUCCUAAAACAAAGCUAAGUAUCAUUCCCGAAACAGGGCCAAUUGUUCAAUUCUGCAUUUCCUGUCACCGAAGAUAAAGAGUUAUUUUGUAAGUGCCAACAUCUCCACCAAAGAGAAGCUUUGAAAUCAUAUCAUUGUUGUACUGACUUGAAGGACUAGAACCCAGUCAGUAAGUAAGCUACUGAAUUUGCUAUCCAUAGGCAAGGUCCAAUGUUAUUUUAAGCGGUGUCAAAGACCUCUACCUUUUGAACAAACCACCAUCCCACAAGUGAUAAGUGGGAAUCAGAUCCAAGCUUACACGUCGGUCGGUGGGUAAUGAGAGCAUACUAUAUUGUCUUGCAAAGUGCUUGCAACAGAAUUAUGCAUUUAGAGUUCUUCAGUUGCAGGCUCGAGGUGAUGAUACCAUACAUUGUUUUGCAUGCCGCAGCAUAUGUUAUUUGUCAAAACGUACUAGAGAAACAAGAUUGAAUUAAUAGCUCAAUCAGUUUUUAGUUUGCAAGGCUAAACGUAGUGCUCUAAAGUAUUCAUGAAUUUCUGCUAAAAGUCCGUCUCUCUCCAUUCUUUUCUGUUUCCAUAUGUGUGUAUGUAUCUCUAUGCUUGAUGGAUUCACUUGCACGCAGGUUACAGGGACAAUUUACACUUAUUAAGUUAAGGAUAUCUUGCUUCGAGCCCAUCAAUGGAAAUAUUCUAUGUGCAUCAGCAGCGACGGCUCUGCCUGCUCUGCCCAUCAACAGCCAUUCAGAUUAGAGUCGCAGAUGAUCUGCCCCCUCUAUAGUUUAGCUCAAGCCAAUGUACAAACCUGCAGAACAGCCCCAUCUGUUUCAGGCCAGCGGGAAGAUGUAUCGGCGCCCUCUAAACCAUGUAAUGUUGUCGUCUGGCCCACUCCGGUGAACUGGCAUAUUCUCCAUAUAAUCCAGUGUGAAUGUUGUUAUUCACCUAAGUAUCCCUGCUUAUAUUAUGCAUGCCUCAAC
Molecule: long non-coding RNA, 4281 nt
Organism: Lolium perenne
Lineage: Eukaryota; Viridiplantae; Streptophyta; Magnoliopsida; Poales; Poaceae
Source: RefSeq, a predicted model, not a curated record